CGCCUACUGGCUCGGGGGCGAGCGGGCCCUCGUCUUUGUCGCACUCGGCCUGCCGCUGUUCUACGCGACGGUGGGCGCC
RNAcentral lists this transfer RNA (79 nucleotides) under Cereibacter sphaeroides. RNAcentral describes it as "tRNA-Asp". Lineage: Bacteria; Pseudomonadati; Pseudomonadota; Alphaproteobacteria; Rhodobacterales; Paracoccaceae. The record is from RNAcentral.